RNAcentral lists this non-coding RNA (148 nucleotides) under Chlorocebus sabaeus (green monkey). Lineage: Eukaryota; Metazoa; Chordata; Mammalia; Primates; Cercopithecidae. The record is from Rfam by way of RNAcentral.
GCUAGGCAUGGUGGCGUGUACCUGUAGUCCCAGCUACUCAGGAGGCUGAGGUGGGAGGAUCACUUGAGCCCAGGAGGUGGAGGUUGCAGUGAGGUGAAAUUGUGCCACUGCACUCCAGCCUGGGCAACAGAGUGAGACCCUGUCUCAA